Molecule: ribosomal RNA, 393 nt
Filed under: Bicosoeca sp.
Lineage: Eukaryota; Bigyra; Bicosoecida; Bicosoecidae
Description: partial small subunit ribosomal RNA
Rfam family: Eukaryotic small subunit ribosomal RNA
Source: RNAcentral
AUUCCAGCUCCAAUAGCGUAUAUUAAAGUUGUUGCAGUUAAAAAGCUCGUAGUUGAAUUUCUGGCGCCACCGGCGGUCCUUCCUCAGUGUUGCGACUUGUGUGUGUGGUGCCAUUUUUGUCGGGUGCGGUGGGGCGCUUGAUUGUGUCCUGCCGUGUUAAGCCCGGCAUCGAUUACUGUGAACAAAUUAGAGUGUUUAAAGCGGGCUGUUAGCUUGAAUACAUUAGCAUGGAAUAAUGAUAUAGGACUUUGGGACUAUAUUCGUUGGUUGAGUACCGAAGUAAUGAUUAAUAGGGAUAGUUGGGGGUAUUCAUAUUCAAACGACAGAGGUGAAAUUCUUGGACCGUUUGAAGACGAACUAAGGCGAAAGCAUUUGCCAAGAAUGUUUUCAUUG